This 339-nucleotide ribosomal RNA is filed under the name uncultured Pseudomonadota bacterium. Its description in RNAcentral is "bacterial SSU rRNA". It matches the Rfam family "Bacterial small subunit ribosomal RNA", at positions 30 to 351 of the family's 1533-position model. The record is from RNAcentral. Lineage: Bacteria; Pseudomonadati; Pseudomonadota.
AUCGAACGCUGGCGGCGUGCUUAACACAUGCAAGUCGAACGAGAAAGCCUGCUUCGGUGGGCGAGUAAAGUGGCGCACGGGUGAGUAACGCGUAGGUAACUUGCCUCAGGGAGAGGGACAACCCUUCGAAAGGAGGGCUAAUACCUCAUAAGACCACGUUUCACAAGGGAUGUGGUUAAAGAUGGCCUAUCCAUGGAAGCUGUCACCCUGAGAAAGGCCUGCGUACCAUUAGCUAGUUGGUAGGGUAAUGGCCUACCAAGGCUACGAUGGUUAGCUGAUCUGAGAGGACGAUCAGCCACACUGGAACUGAGAUACGGUCCAGACUCCUACGGGUGGCAG